This 301-nucleotide ribosomal RNA is filed under the name Bostryx primigenius. Its description in RNAcentral is "partial 28S ribosomal RNA". It matches the Rfam family "Eukaryotic large subunit ribosomal RNA", at positions 1 to 293 of the family's 3401-position model. Lineage: Eukaryota; Metazoa; Mollusca; Gastropoda; Stylommatophora; Orthalicidae. The record is from RNAcentral.
UCCGACCUCAGAUCGGACGAGAUUACCCGCUGAAUUUAAGCAUAUUACUAAGCGGAGGAAAAGAAACUAACAAGGAUUUCCCCAGUAACGGCGAGUGAAGCGGAAAAAGCCCAGCACCGAAUCCCUCAGUGUCAUGCUGACGGGAACUGUGGUGUGUGGGACGCCACCAGUCGCAUCGGAGGGUGCCGAAGUCCUCCUGAUCGGGGCUUCACCCAGAGCGGGUGUAAGGCCUUUGCAGGUGCUUCUCCGUGCGGCCGCGAGCGUCUCAGGAGUCGGGUUGUUUGGGAAUGCAGCCCAAAGC